This 1264-nucleotide ribosomal RNA is filed under the name Geobacillus thermoleovorans. Its description in RNAcentral is "bacterial SSU rRNA". It matches the Rfam family "Bacterial small subunit ribosomal RNA", at positions 88 to 1334 of the family's 1533-position model. Lineage: Bacteria; Bacillati; Bacillota; Bacilli; Caryophanales; Anoxybacillaceae. The record is from RNAcentral.
UUGGUCAGCGGCGGACGGGUGAGUAACACGUGGGCAACCUGCCCGCAAGACCGGGAUAACUCCGGGAAACCGGAGCUAAUACCGGAUAACACCGAAGACCGCAUGGUCUUUGGUUGAAAGGCGGCCUUUGGCUGUCACUUGCGGAUGGGCCCGCGGCGCAUUAACUAGUUGGUGAGGUAACGGCUCACCAAGGCGACGAUGCGUAGCCGGCCUGAGAGGGUGACCGGCCACACUGGGACUGAGACACGGCCCAGACUCCUACGGGAGGCAGCAGUAGGGAAUCUUCCGCAAUGGGCGAAAGCCUGACGGAGCGACGCCGCGUGAGCGAAGAAGGCCUUCGGGUCGUAAAGCUCUGUUGUGAGGGACGAAGGAGCGCCGUUCGAAGAGGGCGGCGCGGUGACGGUACCUCACGAGGAAGCCCCGGCUAACUACGUGCCAGCAGCCGCGGUAAUACGUAGGGGGCGAGCGUUGUCCGGAAUUAUUGGGCGUAAAGCGCGCGCAGGCGGUUCCUUAAGUCUGAUGUGAAAGCCCACGGCUCAACCGUGGAGGGUCAUUGGAAACUGGGGGACUUGAGUGCAGGAGAGGAGAGCGGAAUUCCACGUGUAGCGGUGAAAUGCGUAGAGAUGUGGAGGAACACCAGUGGCGAAGGCGGCUCUCUGGCCUGCAACUGACGCUGAGGCGCGAAAGCGUGGGGAGCAAACAGGAUUAGAUACCCUGGUAGUCCACGCCGUAAACGAUGAGUGCUAAGUGUUAGAGGGGUCACACCCUUUAGUGCUGCAGCUAACGCGAUAAGCACUCCGCCUGGGGAGUACGGCCGCAAGGCUGAAACUCAAAGGAAUUGACGGGGGCCCGCACAAGCGGUGGAGCAUGUGGUUUAAUUGGAAGCAACGCGAAGAACCUUACCAGGUCUUGACAUCCCCUGACAACCCAAGAGAUUGGGCGUUCCCCCUUCGGGGGGACAGGGUGACAGGUGGUGCAUGGUUGUCGUCAGCUCGUGUCGUGAGAUGUUGGGUUAAGUCCCGCAACGAGCGCAACCCUCGCCUCUAGUUGCCAGCACGAAGGUGGGCACUCUAGAGGGACUGCCGGCGACAAGUCGGAGGAAGGUGGGGAUGACGUCAAAUCAUCAUGCCCCUUAUGACCUGGGCUACACACGUGCUACAAUGGGCGGUACAAAGGGCUGCGAACCCGCGAGGGGGAGCGAAUCCCAAAAAGCCGCUCUCAGUUCGGAUUGCAGGCUGCAACUCGCCUGCAGAAGCCGGAAUCG